This 459-nucleotide ribosomal RNA is filed under the name uncultured bacterium. Its description in RNAcentral is "bacterial SSU rRNA". It matches the Rfam family "Bacterial small subunit ribosomal RNA", at positions 923 to 1379 of the family's 1533-position model. The record is from RNAcentral.
GCACAAGCGGUGGAGCAUGUGGUUCAAUUCGAAGCAAUGCGCAGAACCUUACCAGCCCUUGACAUCCCGGUCGCGGACACCAGAGAUGGAGUCUUUCAGUUCGGCUGGACCGGAGACAGGUGCUGCAUGGCUGUCGUCAGCUCGUGUCGUGAGAUGUUGGGUUAAGUCCCGCAACGAGCGCAACCCUCGCCCUUAGUUGCCAUCAUUUAGUUGGGCACUCUAAGGGGACUGCCGGUGAUAAGCCGCGAGGAAGGUGGGGAUGACGUCAAGUCCUCAUGGCCCUUACGGGCUGGGCUACACACGUGCUACAAUGGCGGUGACAAUGGGAUGCGAAGGCGCAAGCCCUGGCAAAUCUCAAAAAGCCGUCUCAGUUCGGAUUGGGCUCUGCAACUCGAGCCCAUGAAGUUGGAAUCGCUAGUAAUCGUGGAUCAGCACGCCACGGUGAAUACGUUCCCGGGC